AUGUUUGUGCAAGAGAACGAUGAUUACAGUUACGCAGAACUUGACCUCCAGUUAUCAUUGGCUGAGUUGAACGGCUGCUUAGUUCUGUUUCAUAAUAUUCUUCACAAAUCUAUGGACUUGUGGUUUUUGUCAGAUUCUGAGAAAAGUAUCUGGGUUAAGAAAUACAACAUGCCUUCACAUGUUUCUAGGCUUUAUAGGUAUCCUUUUCUGAUGUUAGAUGAUGGGACGAUUUUCUUCAGUGGGGUGGAUGGUCUACAAGGUUUACUUAGUGAUGGAGAGCAAGGAGAGGGAUUUCUGCUAAGUUAUGAUCCAAGAAACGACACUUAUGGUUAUGCACUAAAACUGAGAGGUUCCCAAUCCAUUGGCAUUUACACAGGAAGCCUGCUGAGUUUAUAG
Molecule: ribosomal RNA, 396 nt
Filed under: Triticum aestivum (bread wheat)
Lineage: Eukaryota; Viridiplantae; Streptophyta; Magnoliopsida; Poales; Poaceae
Description: partial small subunit ribosomal RNA
Source: RNAcentral